This 1043-nucleotide long non-coding RNA is filed under the name Sus scrofa (pig). RNAcentral describes it as "lncRNA (ENSSSCG00070008614.1)". The record is from RNAcentral. Lineage: Eukaryota; Metazoa; Chordata; Mammalia; Artiodactyla; Suidae.
CGUGACAAACCCGAAGGGACGCUGGACCCGCGCGGAACUGGAGCGCUAGGGUGGGGCUGCGCGGUGGCGCUCCUGUCCGCUCUGCCGGGAGCCACUGCGGAUCCCACUCUCUGCAGGCCGCAAGGAGCUCUAUUGAAUAUUCCUUUACUCUGCAUAUGAAUUAUUCAUGAAAUGACUUAAAGACAUAAAAAUUAAAACAGAUCCAUUGGACCCAGAUGGUAAGUGAUGAAGACUAUUUUUUCUGAUAUACUGAAAGUUAAGAGGUUUUCAUCUGAGGAAGAAUAGAGAGAAAAUGGAAAAUUUCUUAAGCUCCUGAGAAAAGAGUUCAGACUACAAAUUGGAGAAAGGGAAAAUCUCCAAAAACGGUCUUUACUGGCUUUCUAACAUAAUCUAUAGACAUCCCUAGACCAAGUCGUUUGAGAUCAAUCUGUGAACCUGAGGAUGUUUGUUAAACAUUUACCAACGUGGAACUGAUUAUAAUUACUUUAAGUUACACCCCCUUGUGCAGGUCCUGGCACAAAAUGAAUAUUCCCUAAAUAAUCAUGAAUUGUGUGUCAAGACCUAAACAAUUACAAAACAUUAUUAUUAACAUCAUUUUUAUAUAUUUAGAUCAACUGUAAAAAUAUAAAAUCUGACAUAAGUCUCCCCACCAACAAAAAAGUCUUUUUAAAAGCAAAUAUUCCUAAGAUCAUUACUUCUUCAAAGUGGCACUUGUUGAAAAUGCCAGAGAAUAUUAAAAAUAGGUGAGGGGGUAAGAUCCUGUUGUCAAAUAAUGUCAGAAAACACCAGUAAAAUUAUGUAAAAUAGGUCUUGUGGGGAGUUCCCUUCGAGGCUCAGUGGUCAACGACCAUAACUCGGAUCCAUGAGGAUGCAGGUUUGAUCCCUGGCCUCACUCAGUGGGUUAAGGAUCCGGUGUUGCCUUGAGCUGUGAUGUAGGCCGGCAGCUGUAGCUCUGAUUCCACCCCCAGCCUGGGAACUUCCACACGCUGAGGGUGCAGCCAUAAAAGGAAAAAGUAAAAUAAAACAGGUCUCUUGACUUGGCA